AGGGAGACAUUGGGCCAGCAGGACCGAGUGGACCAUCAGGAAUUCCAGGGCCCACGGGUUUCCCAGGGAGUGUGGGACAGCCUGGAAUGAAAGGGUGAACAUGGCCUUGCAGGAGAUCCAGGAGAUAUGGGGUACCCAGGAGACAAGGGUGCUCUUGGCUUACCAGGACCCCCAGGGAUCAGAGGAAAACCAGGACCUCCAGUAAGUUUACAUAUCAAAUUCUGUUGUUGGU
This 232-nucleotide long non-coding RNA is filed under the name Lonchura striata (white-rumped munia). RNAcentral describes it as "domestica (Bengalese finch) lncRNA (ENSLSDG00000011351.1)". Lineage: Eukaryota; Metazoa; Chordata; Aves; Passeriformes; Estrildidae. The record is from RNAcentral.